UACAGAGGGGGCCAGCGUUAUUCGGAAUUAUUGGGCGUAAAGGGCUCGUAGGCGGCCAACUAAGUCGGACGUGAAAUCCCUCAGCUUAACUGGGGAACUGCGUCCGAUACUGGAUGGCUUGGAUUUGGGAGAGGGAUGCGGAAUUCCAGGUGUAGCGGUGAAAUGCGUAGAUAUCUGGAGGAACACCGGUGGCGAAGGCGGCAUCCUGGACCGGUAUUGACGCUGAUGCGCGAAAGCCAGGGGAGCAAAGCGGGAU
This 256-nucleotide ribosomal RNA is filed under the name uncultured bacterium. RNAcentral's name for it is "partial 16S ribosomal RNA". It matches the Rfam family "Bacterial small subunit ribosomal RNA", at positions 524 to 779 of the family's 1533-position model. The record is from RNAcentral.